This 406-nucleotide long non-coding RNA is filed under the name Felis catus (domestic cat). RNAcentral describes it as "lncRNA (ENSFCAG00000048158.1)". The record is from RNAcentral. Lineage: Eukaryota; Metazoa; Chordata; Mammalia; Carnivora; Felidae.
AAAAAUAUCAGAGUUGCUCCUGUGUCUGCACAGACAGAAUCUGUAAAUUUUAAUUUUUUGUCAUUUGGCUUCUAGAUGUCCUUGGCGUGUGCACCCUUGUGGAAUCCGGUUCAUCUCCAAUCUGUCAAGAAGCAUCAGAGGUGGUUUUGAUUCCUUAUGUCCUGAGUCUGUGCACAAAAUGUACCUUGUGUGGAAGAAAAUGAGAUCCCGAGUGAAGUCUACAAUGUCAUUGACUCUGAAGAAGGACUCAGAGACCCAUUGGUGUUUAAUGACCCUUACUGGCCUAUGCAAUGGGAACUGGACUUUGACCAACAUCAUAUUCUAAGAACUCAUGGAGUAUUUGAUUCACUGGCAUGAAAUCCUGUACAACAACAUCUGAGACCAAGAGAUACAUUUUUUUUGUAAA